CUAAACAGGAUGUAUAAGAAGAAGCAGCCACUGGGUGUGUCUUAGCUAUAAGAAAUUCAUAAGGCUAAAUAUGGCUUUCAACUGACUUAAAGCCCAAUAUAAGAAGCUACCAUAUCUAGUUUGGCAGGCCCCUCAUCAUGCAGUAAUUACCUCCCUUUUAGUAACACACUGACGGAAAGCACAAUGCCACUCUCGCUACAGCCAGUGGCAAAACUCCUGUUGAGUUCAGCAGGAGCUGCAGCAGUGAAUGCUAGCAUCCUCCAGGCCAGUCCAAGAAGGAAGAGGGAGCUUUCUCCAGCUGGAACUGAAGCCUGGUAGAACUGAAAGUGCAGACUUCUGCUGCACCUGAGCACAAAGGAAGGUGGACCUGCCUUCAUAUAUCUGCUGCUUUGCAGCUGGUCUAUGGGAAAGUUUAGAAGAGCAUGGUUUAAUUCCUGUGUGCUCCCAGCCGGGCCAGCAAUCAUAAUGUGAGCUGAAACAAAAUCUCUCAGCUCAUUGUGCCAGAGACAUUGAGACUGGCAGCACUACAGUGUGUGGCUGUGUGGAUGGCUAUGAGGGCACAAUAAGCGCUCUUGCCCUGACUUCCUUCGGCUCUGAUGAGCACUCCACUCGCUGCUUGGCAGAGAAGAGGAAGAGCACAACAACUGCUGUGUCGUGUGCCCAUUCCCUCCACCUCCACCUCCCACUGAAGGAGGGGAAUGCACAUACCUCAUGUCCCUGGGUGUCCAGGCAGGGCUGUGCCAUCUUUUGCUGGGAUAUCGGACCUGAAAAAGGACACCAGAGCACCUUAUCCCUGCGGCGGGAAUGUCACCUCCUACAUCUGACAGUGAAAGGAUGCUACAAUAGUGGAUUUUUUCUUCCUCUUAUCUUUUGUUUUAAACAAUGUCAUAACUGA
This 895-nucleotide long non-coding RNA is filed under the name Anas platyrhynchos platyrhynchos (common mallard). Its description in RNAcentral is "lncRNA (ENSAPLG00000029438.1)". Lineage: Eukaryota; Metazoa; Chordata; Aves; Anseriformes; Anatidae. The record is from RNAcentral.